UCCUGGCUCAGAUUGAACGCUGGCGGCAUGCUUUACACAUGCAAGUCGAACGGCAGCGGGUCCUUCGGGAAUGCCGGCGAGUGGCGAACGGGUGAGUAAUGCAUCGGAACGUACCCAGACGUGGGGGAUAACUACGCGAAAGCGUAGCUAAUACCGCAUACGCCCUGAGGGGGAAANCGGGGGAUCUUCGGACCUCGCGCGAUUGGAGCGGCCGAUGUCGGAUUAGCUAGUUGGUGGGGUAAAGGCCUACCAAGGCGACGAUCCGUAGCUGGUCUGAGAGGAUGAUCAGCCACACUGGGACUGAGACACGGCCCAGACUCCUACGGGAGGCAGCAGUGGGGAAUUUUGGACAAUGGGCGCAAGCCUGAUCCAGCCAUGCCGCGUGCGGGACGAAGGCCUUCGGGUUGUAAACCGCUUUCAGCCGGAAAGAAAUCGCCGUUUUAAUACAGACGGUGGAUGACGGUACCGGAAGAAGAAGCACCGGCUAACUACGUG
Molecule: ribosomal RNA, 495 nt
Filed under: uncultured bacterium
Lineage: Bacteria
Description: bacterial SSU rRNA
Rfam family: Bacterial small subunit ribosomal RNA
Source: RNAcentral